This 2320-nucleotide long non-coding RNA is filed under the name Homo sapiens (human). RNAcentral's name for it is "non-protein coding lnc-CEACAM20-2:8". The record is from RNAcentral. Lineage: Eukaryota; Metazoa; Chordata; Mammalia; Primates; Hominidae.
GGUCUCCUUCUGUCUUCGAAACUUGCCUGACCUCCCUCUGGUUGUCUCCUGCCCCGCCCUCUGUCUCUGUCUCCCCAUCUCUGUUGCUGUCUCUGUGUCCCCUGGGACCUUGAAAGUGGGUAUUGGGGCCCCGGGAAGGGACUUUGGCCGGACUCGGGCCCCACCCGAGUGGAUCGUUAACCCAGGAUGUGAGAAGUGGCUGUGUGGAGAGGCCUCACCCCUUCCCUUCCUUUCGACCUCUCUCUGGAUCUCCCUUAUCCCCCUUCAUGGCGAAACAUCCCGAGCACAGACCUGUGUUAAUUCCACCUCCACCCCUUGCUCCCGGUGGGACCUCAGACAAGCCAUCCCCUGCCUUGAGACUCAGUUUGUUCUUCUGGAAAAUGGGACCAAUGGCAACCCCUGCCUGCUGGUGUUGUGGGGGCCACAGCAAGGGAAGAGGGGAGGAAUUCGGUUGGACAGGCUGGGGGCUGUGUUCCCUGCCCAUCCAACCCCACCCCUGGGGACCCUCAGACACAGGAGAGGGGUGUGGAGCACUAUCCCAAUGCACAGAAAGGAAAGCUGAGGUUUGGAGGGGCGAGGCUUAGGGUGGGGACCCUCAGAGGUAGGGUGGGAAGGACACCCAAGCCUGUCCCACUCCUGGCAUCCCAGGGCAGCUGGUGCAGUGGUUCCAACCUAGCAGGACUGUAGAGGGGAGAAGAUGUGAUGGGUCCGGUGGGAGCUUCGAAGGGCUGGGAGAGACGGUGCUGCUGGAAGAGAGGGUGCUGAUGGUUCUCUGAGGUUGGAAGAGGGAUAAAAGGGUCAGAAGGAGGAGGAUCUGAAGAAGGAAGAUAGGUCUGAGAGAGAAGUAGAUGGUUUAGUGGGAGGAGGGGGAGAGGAUCUGAAGGAGGAGGACAGGGUCUGUUGGAGGAGGUAAGGGUCUGAUGGAGGAAAUAAGGGUCUGAGGGUGGAGGCGAGGUUUGGAGGGAGGAGGUGAAGGUCUGAGGGAGGAGACAAGGGUCUGAAGGAGGAGAUAAGAGUCUGAGGAAGGAGGCGAGGGUUUGAGAGAGGAGGUGAGGGUCUGAAGGAGGAGGUGGGGGUCUGAGGGAGGAGGUGAGGGUCUGAGAGGAGGUGAGGCUCUGAAGGAGGAGGUGGGGGUCUGAGGGAGGAGGUGAGGGUCUGAAGGAGGAGAUAAGCAUCUGAGGAAGGAGGUGAGGGUUUGAGAGAAUAGGUGAGGGUUUGAAGGAGGAGGUAAGGGUCUGAGGGAGGAGGAGAGAGUUGGAGGGGAAAGAAGGGUCUGAGGAAAGAAGAUUUGGAGAGAGUCUGAGGGUAGAGGCCAGAUCUGAGGGAGAAGAAAGAGGCUCAGGGGAAAAGAUCUGAGGGUCCGAGGGUGGAAGGCAUGGACUAGGGGAGGAGGAGCUGGUGGGGUGGAGGGGUGGAGAGGCGUGCCUCCGGAGCCAGCAGGGACCAAGGGGAGGGAAGGGAAGGGAGGCUGGGAGGCAGCCCCGCCCUGCAGCUGUCUCUAAUUUCCCAGAAUCUUCUGCUCUCAGGAAAGUCCCAGCUCCCACAGCAGCCUCCCUCCAAUGUCGGGAACGGAGGAUGCGGAACCAGGAUGGCCACCCCCACCCUCCCCCGGCUCCUUGCACCCCAGGCGGAAAGGACUAGGGUCUCCUUUCUCUGGGCCUUGGCCUCUGGAGGGCCCCCACCCGCAGGGGCAGCCCCUGGAUGAGUCUUAGAAACUUCCCAGAGGAGGCCAGGAAGUUCUGCUUGGUGUCUAACCACUUUCCCCUCAUGCAGGCCGCCCUUUGUACCUGUUCAGAUCUCCUCCCCAGCUGCUGUUUCUUUUUCCCCAACCCAUCCUGGGGGAGGAAAGGCCAGGAAUUUACCUGCUCAAAGUCCUGAGAGGGAAACGAAAUUCCAUCUGGAAGUCUGUAGGCUUGAGGCAGCUUUCUUGCUCUCAGGGGCCUCAAUUUCCCUUUCUAAGAGGAGAGAGUAGGGCUGGUCAGGGCCUAAGUUCCCAUCUGGCUCAAUUACUGGGUCUUGUCCUGCUUUUUUUUUGAGACAAGAUCUGGCUCUGUCUCCCAGGCUGAAGUGCAGUGGUGAGAUCAUAGCUCACUGUAGCCUUGAACUCCUGGACUCAAAUGAUCCUCCUGCCUCAACCUCCCAAGUAGGUGGGACUACAGGCAUGUGCCGCAAUGACUGGCUAAUAAAAAAAACAAUUUGUAGACUCAGGGGGUCUCACUGUGUUGCCCAGGGUGUUCUCGAACUCCUGGGCUCAAGCGAACCUCCCUCCUCGGUCUCCCAAAGUGCUGGGAUUACAGGCGUGAGCCACCGCAUCUGGCUU